Molecule: long non-coding RNA, 206 nt
Filed under: Elaeis guineensis (African oil palm)
Lineage: Eukaryota; Viridiplantae; Streptophyta; Magnoliopsida; Arecales; Arecaceae
Description: long non-coding RNA (EGUI_LNC040573)
Source: RNAcentral
GCGCCACCAUAUUUUUGAUGCCAUUUCUUCUUCAUGCCAAAGAGAGUUUUGCAUGAGUUUUUCCCACACCAAUAACAUCUGAUGUUGCUUCUUUCUUAACACCAAAUCUGGUUUGAUUUUGAUAAAAGAAAAGUUUUGAAAUUUGAUUUCAAAAAUAUUUCUUAUCAAGAGAGUUUGUUUUCAUCCAAACUACUCCACACGCCAUC